GUGGGGAAUAUUGGACAAUGGGCGCAAGCCUGAUCCAGCCAUGCCGCGUGAGUGAUGAAGGCCUUAGGGUUGUAAAGCUCUUUCACCGAUGAAGAUAAUGACGGUAGUCGGAGAAGAAGCCCCGGCUAACUUCGUGCCAGCAGCCGCGGUAAUACGAAGGGGGCUAGCGUUGUUCGGAUUUACUGGGCGUAAAGCGCACGUAGGCGGUUUGUUAAGUCAGGGGUGAAAUCCCGGAGCUCAACUCCGGAACUGCCUUUGAUACUGGCAAGCUAGAGUCCGGAAGAGGUAAGUGGAACUCCUAGUGUAGAGGUGGAAUUCGUAGAUAUUAGGAAGAACACCAGUGGCGAAGGCGGCUCACUGGUCUGGUACUGACGCUGAGGUGCGAAAGCGUGGGGAGCAAACAGGAUUAGAUACCCCAGUAGUCC
Molecule: ribosomal RNA, 425 nt
Filed under: uncultured bacterium
Lineage: Bacteria
Description: partial 16S ribosomal RNA
Rfam family: Bacterial small subunit ribosomal RNA
Source: RNAcentral